Molecule: long non-coding RNA, 483 nt
Organism: Lathyrus oleraceus (garden pea)
Lineage: Eukaryota; Viridiplantae; Streptophyta; Magnoliopsida; Fabales; Fabaceae
Exons: 2
Source: RefSeq, a predicted model, not a curated record
AAGCACCGGACCCAAACGCUAUGCUCAUAAGUUGCGGCUAAAGAUAGAGAAUGAUUCUCAUAGAAGCAAGUUUUCUUCAUUGUUGUGUCUCAACUCUCCGCGUUUCAAGCUCCAGAUCAAUCGAUUUUGAACAAAACGAAGAACAAUUCUCAAUUCACAUUCUGAAAUCUGCAUCAACAACUCAGCUUGAUUCAUCAUUGCACGGACGCACAAACCAAAAAAACAGAAUCGGAAUUAAAGUGAGAAACACACCGGUAUCUGAAGCCUCAAUCGCAAACAGGUGGAGAUGCAAAGAGAUUUGGGAAGAUUAUGAUGAACCCGAUUUAGUAAUCAAACUCAAACAAAAGCAUAUGAGUCAUGUAGAUGUUGUAUGGACUUAAUGGAAUUUGCAUAUAUAUGUACUAUGUAGAAUUCCCAUAUAUAAUGAACUAUGAUCAUGUUGUAUGCAAAAUUGAUUUGUCAAUAUUAAUGUAAACUUGAGUA